RNAcentral lists this ribosomal RNA (274 nucleotides) under uncultured bacterium. RNAcentral describes it as "partial 16S ribosomal RNA". It matches the Rfam family "Bacterial small subunit ribosomal RNA", at positions 523 to 796 of the family's 1533-position model. The record is from RNAcentral.
AUACAGAGGGUGCAAACGUUGUUCGGAAUUACUGGGCAUAAAGCGCGCGUAGGCGGUCAGGUAAGUGUGAAGUGAAAUCCCACGGCUCACCCGUGGAACUGCUUUGCAUACUGCUUGACUAGAGGAAGGUAGGGGAGAGCAGAACUCUUGGAGGAGCGGUGAAAUGCGUAGAUAUCGAGAGGAAUACCAGUGGCGAAGGCGGCUCUCUGGUCCUUUACUGACGCUGAGGUGCGAAAGCUAGGGUAGCGAACGGGAUUAGAAACCCCAGUAGUCC